RNAcentral lists this ribosomal RNA (395 nucleotides) under uncultured bacterium. Its description in RNAcentral is "partial 16S ribosomal RNA". It matches the Rfam family "Bacterial small subunit ribosomal RNA", at positions 523 to 918 of the family's 1533-position model. The record is from RNAcentral.
AUACGUAGGGUGCAAGCGUUAAUCGGAAUUACUGGGCGUAAAGCGUGCGCAGGCGGUUUUGUAAGACAGAGGUGAAAUCCCCGGGCUCAACCUGGGAACUGCCUUUGUGACUGCAAGGCUAGAGGACGGCAGAGGGGGGUGGGAUUCCGCGUGUAGCAGGGAAAUGCGUAGAUAUGCGGAGGAACACCGAUGGCGAAGGCAAUCCCCUGGGCCUGUACUGACGCUCAUGCACGAAAGCGUGGGGAGCAAACAGGAUUAGAUACCCUGGUAGUCCACGCCCUAAACGAUGUCAACUGGUUGUUGGGUCUUCAUUGACUCAGUAACGAAGCUAACGCGUGAAGUUGACCGCCUGGGGAGUACGGCCGCAAGGUUGAAACUCAAAUGAAUUGACGGGG